Molecule: ribosomal RNA, 162 nt
Filed under: Apostasia papuana
Lineage: Eukaryota; Viridiplantae; Streptophyta; Magnoliopsida; Asparagales; Orchidaceae
Description: 5.8S ribosomal RNA
Rfam family: 5.8S ribosomal RNA
About the family: 5.8S ribosomal RNA (5.8S rRNA) is a component of the large subunit of the eukaryotic ribosome. It is transcribed by RNA polymerase I as part of the 45S precursor that also contains 18S and 28S rRNA. Functionally, it is thought that 5.8S rRNA may be involved in ribosome translocation.
Source: RNAcentral
GAAGACUCUCGGCAACGGAUAUCUCGGCUCUCGCAUCGAUGAAGAACGCAGCGAACCGCGAUACGUGGUGUGAAUUGCAGAAUCCCGCGAAUCAUCGAGUCUUUGAACGCAAGUUGCGCCCGAGGCCAAGUGGCCGAGGGCACGCCUGCCUGGUGGUCAUGC